This 72-nucleotide transfer RNA is filed under the name Caudoviricetes sp. RNAcentral describes it as "tRNA-Gln". It matches the Rfam family "tRNA". Rfam says of the family: Transfer RNA (tRNA) molecules are approximately 80 nucleotides in length. Their secondary structure includes four short double-helical elements and three loops (D, anti-codon, and T loops). Further hydrogen bonds mediate the characteristic L-shaped molecular structure. tRNAs have two regions of fundamental functional importance: the anti-codon, which is responsible for specific mRNA codon recognition, and the 3' end, to which the tRNAs corresponding amino acid is attached (by aminoacyl-tRNA synthetases). tRNAs cope with the degeneracy of the genetic code in two manners: having more than one tRNA (with a specific anti-codon) for a particular amino acid; and 'wobble' base-pairing, i.e. permitting non-standard base-pairing at the 3rd anti-codon position. Lineage: Duplodnaviria; Heunggongvirae; Uroviricota; Caudoviricetes. The record is from RNAcentral.
AGGGGUAUUGCCAAAUGGUAAGGCAUAUGAUUUUGGCUCAUAUAUGUGUUGGUUCAAAUCCAACUACCCCCG